AUGGGUGUUGGCUCCAACAAUUCUCAUUGGUCUCAAACCAAUGACAUGCAUUUCAAUGAUCAUGAGUUUGAGGUGGACGAGGAUGGUGAGGGCAUCGUCGACGCACCAAAAGGAAGAGGAGGCAACUACACCAUGGAUGAAGACAUCUUGCUAUGCAAUACUUGGUUGCAAGUGUCGAGGGAUCCCUCCAUUGGAGGUGAUCAGAGUAGAGAUGCAUAUUGGCUCUGGAUGAAGGAACACUUUGAUGUGCACAACAAAAGUGGAAUUGACCGCUCCGGAAGAUCUCUUCGCUCCCAGUGGUCGACAAUCAAUCGAGAUUGUCAAAGGUGGGCGGCCGCACUUAAGGUGGUUGACAAGUUGAACCCAAGUGGCACUAAUGAUAUAGAUAGGGUAAGUGCCAUUUCUUACAUGUUCAUCAUGCUUCUUCUUGGUGUUUGUAGUGCUAACUUGUUUUUUAUGUAG
Molecule: ribosomal RNA, 462 nt
Filed under: Triticum aestivum (bread wheat)
Lineage: Eukaryota; Viridiplantae; Streptophyta; Magnoliopsida; Poales; Poaceae
Description: partial small subunit ribosomal RNA
Source: RNAcentral